This 200-nucleotide non-coding RNA is filed under the name Clostridium cylindrosporum. Its description in RNAcentral is "T-box sequence". It matches the Rfam family "T-box leader". Rfam says of the family: Uncharged tRNA acts as the effector for transcription antitermination of genes in the T-box leader family. T-boxes are found upstream of many aminoacyl-tRNA synthetase genes and some amino acid biosynthetic genes usually in Gram-positive bacteria. Lineage: Bacteria; Bacillati; Bacillota; Clostridia; Eubacteriales; Clostridiaceae. The record is from RNAcentral.
GGAAAAGCAGUGAUAGGGAAGAGUAGAUAGACUAGGGUUUAUUAGAGAGUGGGAGAAGGUGAAAGCCCAUAGACAUGGUCUUUUGAAAAUCACCCUGAAGUUGUAGGCUGAACUAGUAGUAAGCUGUGCCGGAUUACUUGUCCGUUAUCUAUUAAAGUUAUAAAUUUGGGUGGUACCGCGAGUAGAAUUUCGCCCCAUAG